GACGAACGCUGGCGGCGUGCUUAACACAUGCAAGUCGAGCGGUAAGGCCCGUUUCGGGGGUACACGAGCGGCGAACGGGUGAGUAACACGUGGGUGACCUGCCCUCAGCUCUGGGAUAAGCCUGGGAAACCGGGUCUAAUACUGGAUAUGACUCCAUGACGCAUGUUGUGGGGUGGAAAGCCUUGUGCGGCUGAGGAUGGGCCCGCGGCCUAUCAGCUUGUUGGUGGGGGAUGGCCUACCAAGGCGACGACGGGUAGCCGGCCUGAGAGGGCGACCGGCCACACUGGGACUGAGACACGGCCCAGACUCCUACGGGAGGCAGCAGUGGGGAAUCUUGCGCAAUGGGCGAAAGCCUGACGCAGCGACGCCGCGUGA
Molecule: ribosomal RNA, 375 nt
Filed under: uncultured bacterium
Lineage: Bacteria
Description: bacterial SSU rRNA
Rfam family: Bacterial small subunit ribosomal RNA
Source: RNAcentral